Molecule: ribosomal RNA, 253 nt
Filed under: uncultured bacterium
Lineage: Bacteria
Description: partial 16S ribosomal RNA
Rfam family: Bacterial small subunit ribosomal RNA
Source: RNAcentral
UACGUAGGGUGCGAGCGUUAAUCGGAAUUACUGGGCGUAAAGCGUGCGCAGGCGGUCUGCUAAGACAGGUGUGAAAUCCCUGGGCUCAACCUAGGAAUUGCGCUUGUGACUGGCAGGCUAGAGUACGGUAGAGGGGGGUGGAAUUCCUGGUGUAGCAGUGAAAUGCGUAGAGAUCAGGAGGAACACCGAUGGCGAAGGCAGCCCCCUGGGCCUGUACUGACGCUCAGGCAAGAAAGCGUGGGGAGCAAACAGG